CGGGACGGGGUGGAGUAAUGUCUGGGAAACUGCCCGAUGGAGGGGGGUAACUACUGGAAACAGUAGCUAAUACCGCAUAACGUCGCAAGACCAAAGAGGGGGACCUUAGGGCCUCUUGCCAUCGGAUGUGCCCAGAUGGGAUUAGCUAGUAGGUGGGGUAACGGCUCACCUAGGCGACGAUCCCUAGCUGGUCUGAGAGGAUGACCAGCCACACUGGAACUGAGACACGGUCCAG
RNAcentral lists this ribosomal RNA (235 nucleotides) under uncultured bacterium. RNAcentral's name for it is "partial 16S ribosomal RNA". It matches the Rfam family "Bacterial small subunit ribosomal RNA", at positions 104 to 334 of the family's 1533-position model. The record is from RNAcentral.